GCGCCUGUAGCUCAAUGGAUAGAGCGUUGGUCUACGGAACCAAAGGUUACAGGUUCGAGUCCUGUCAGGCGCGCCA
Molecule: transfer RNA, 76 nt
Filed under: Candidatus Sumerlaeota bacterium
Lineage: Bacteria; Candidatus Sumerlaeota
Description: tRNA-Arg
Rfam family: tRNA
About the family: Transfer RNA (tRNA) molecules are approximately 80 nucleotides in length. Their secondary structure includes four short double-helical elements and three loops (D, anti-codon, and T loops). Further hydrogen bonds mediate the characteristic L-shaped molecular structure. tRNAs have two regions of fundamental functional importance: the anti-codon, which is responsible for specific mRNA codon recognition, and the 3' end, to which the tRNAs corresponding amino acid is attached (by aminoacyl-tRNA synthetases). tRNAs cope with the degeneracy of the genetic code in two manners: having more than one tRNA (with a specific anti-codon) for a particular amino acid; and 'wobble' base-pairing, i.e. permitting non-standard base-pairing at the 3rd anti-codon position.
Source: RNAcentral